AUGAUUAUGGUUCCCAUCCAUGCUCAUGUUGAUAUCAUGCUCAUAUUGCAUUGUCAUUUCAUCAUGUUAUUUUGUUGUCAUGUCUCUCGCCGACGCCUCAAACUAGGGAAGGUUAUGUGCGCGCGCUACCCUGGCCCGGUAGGCGGCGAUAACCUUGUGUGCCUGAGUUGUUUGCGCGUUUUUGUCCUCGUUUGGGACCGUUUGUUUUUUGUUUGGCCACGACGGUGGCCGGCCACAAAAGUGGCAGAUGUCAAGAGUUGGCAUCGGGGCCACCCAGGACAUAGCCCAAAGGGGAGUUUGUCGAGGUGGCCGCGAGAGUAUCAUGCAAUAGAUUGGUUUUAUCGGAAUGUCGUUGGUCCACCCGAAUGGGAGCACGAGGCCAUGAAUUCCGUGGUGUGGGUACAGUGUACUAACCUCUGCAGAGUGUAUACUCUAUCGAUAGUCGCGCUCUCGAUUAUGGACCCAGUUCGUAGUAGGUCACAACUUGGGUCAACAGUAAUAACAAUAUGA
This 510-nucleotide ribosomal RNA is filed under the name Triticum aestivum (bread wheat). RNAcentral describes it as "partial small subunit ribosomal RNA". Lineage: Eukaryota; Viridiplantae; Streptophyta; Magnoliopsida; Poales; Poaceae. The record is from RNAcentral.